AACGAACGCUGGCGGCAGGCCUAAUACAUGCAAGUCGAACGCCCCUUCGGGGGAGUGGCGCACGGGUGAGUAACACGUGGGAAUGUGCCCUUGGGUACGGAACAACACCGGGAAACUGGUGCUAAUACCGUAUAAUGUCUUCGGACCAAAGAUUUAUCGCCCAGGGAUCAGCCCGCGUAGGAUUAGCUAGUUGGUGAGGUGAUGGCUCACCAAGGCUACGAUCCUUAGCUGGUCUUAGAGGAUGAUCAGCCACACUGGAACUGAGACACGGUCCAGACUCCUACGGGAGGCAGCAGUAAGGAAUAUUGGACAAUGGGGGAAACCCUGAUCCAGCCAUGCCGCGUGAAUGAAGAAGGCCUUAGGGUUGUAAAGUUCUUUUAGUGGUGACGAUAAUGACGGUAGCCACAGAAAAAGCUCCGGCUAACUCCGUGCCAGCAGCCGCAGUAA
RNAcentral lists this ribosomal RNA (447 nucleotides) under uncultured bacterium. RNAcentral describes it as "partial 16S ribosomal RNA". It matches the Rfam family "Bacterial small subunit ribosomal RNA", at positions 29 to 523 of the family's 1533-position model. The record is from RNAcentral.